RNAcentral lists this ribosomal RNA (553 nucleotides) under Bacillus pumilus. RNAcentral describes it as "bacterial SSU rRNA". It matches the Rfam family "Bacterial small subunit ribosomal RNA", at positions 35 to 573 of the family's 1533-position model. The record is from RNAcentral. Lineage: Bacteria; Bacillati; Bacillota; Bacilli; Caryophanales; Bacillaceae.
GCUGGCGGCGUGCCUAAUACCUGCAAGUCGAGCCGUCAGAACGGAACUUGCUCCCGGAUGUUAGCGGCGGACGGGUGAGUAACACGUGGGUAACCUGCCUGUAAGACUGGGAUAACUCCGGGAAACCGGAGCUAAUACCGGAUAGUUCCUUGAACCGCAUGGUUCAAGGAUGAAAGACGGUUUCGGCUGUCACUUACAGAUGGACCCGCGGCGCAUUAGCUAGUUGGUGAGGUAACGGCUCACCAAGGCGACGAUGCGUAGCCGACCUGAGAGGGUGAUCGGCCACACUGGGACUGAGACACGGCCCAGACUCCUACGGGAGGCAGCAGUAGGGAAUCUUCCGCAAUGGACGAAAGUCUGACGGAGCAACGCCGCGUGAGUGAUGAAGGUUUUCGGAUCGUAAAGCUCUGUUGUUAGGGAAGAACAAGUGCAAGAGUAACUGCUUGCACCUUGACGGUACCUAACCAGAAAGCCACGGCUAACUACGUGCCAGCAGCCGCGGUAAUACGUAGGUGGCAAGCGUUGUCCGGAAUUAUUGGCGUAAAGGCUCGCA